This 506-nucleotide ribosomal RNA is filed under the name uncultured bacterium. RNAcentral's name for it is "bacterial SSU rRNA". It matches the Rfam family "Bacterial small subunit ribosomal RNA", at positions 28 to 521 of the family's 1533-position model. The record is from RNAcentral.
GACGAACGCUGGCGGCGUGCCUAACACAUGCAAGUCGAACGGAAAACAUAGCAAUAUGUUUUUAGUGGCGAACGGGUGAGUAACGCGUAGACAACCAACCUUUUUGUGGGGGACAACACUUCGAAAGGAGUGCUAAUACCGCAUACGCUCCAGAUGCCGCCUGGCAUUUGGAGGAAAGGAGCUGUAAGGCUUCGCAAAAAGACGGGUCUGCGUCUGAUUAGCUAGUUGGAGGGGUAACGGCCCACCAAGGCGACGAUCAGUAGCCGGUCUGAGAGGAUGGACGGCCACACUGGGACUGAGACACGGCCCAGACUCCUACGGGAGGCAGCAGUGGGGAAUCUUCCGCAAUGGACGAAAGUCUGACGGAGCGACGCCGCGUGAGUGAUGAAGGCCCUUGGGUCGUAAAGCUCUGUCAUCAGGGACGAACGGUCACGUCAGGAAAUGGGCGUGAAUUGACGGUACCUGAGAAGGAAGCCACGGCUAACUACGUAGCCAGCAGCCGCGGU